This 253-nucleotide ribosomal RNA is filed under the name uncultured bacterium. RNAcentral describes it as "partial 16S ribosomal RNA". It matches the Rfam family "Bacterial small subunit ribosomal RNA", at positions 524 to 776 of the family's 1533-position model. The record is from RNAcentral.
UACGGAGGGAGCUAGCGUUGUUCGGAAUUACUGGGCGUAAAGCGUGCGUAGGCGGUGACUCAAGUCAGAGGUGAAAGCCUGGAGCUCAACUCCAGAACUGCCUUUGAAACUAGGUCGCUAGAAUCUGGGAGAGGUGAGUGGAACUGCGAGUGUAGAGGUGAAAUUCGUAGAUAUUCGCAAGAACACCAGUGGCGAAGGCGGCUCACUGGCCCGAUACUGACGCUGAGGCACGAAAGCGUGGGGAGCAAACAGG